AACUUUUGGCAACGGAUCACUUGGCUCUCGCAUCGAUGAAGAACGCAGCGAAAUGCGAUAAGUAAUGUUAAUUGCAGAAUUCAGUGAAUCAUCGAAUCUUUGAACGCACCUUGCACCCUUUGGCAUUCCGAAGGGUAUGCUCGUUUGAGUGUCAUUGUACUCUCACACUCCCGAUGCUUUUGGAUUGGGAGUGGUGGACUUGGGUGUUGCUGCUUUACUGUGGCUCACCUCAAAUGGAGUAGUGCAACUCUUGGUUGGACAUAGUACGGCGUGAUAAGUGUCUUCGCCGGCGCCUCAUUAGAGGGUGGCCGAUCGGGAGCUCUGUGCUUCAAACCGUCUUCGGACAACAUCUGACAACUUGACCUCAAAUCGAGUAGGACUACCCGCUGAACUUAAGCAUAUCAAUAAGCGGAGGCU
RNAcentral lists this unclassified non-coding RNA (417 nucleotides) under uncultured Sebacina. Its description in RNAcentral is "sequence contains ITS2". The stretch from base 1 to 154 matches the Rfam family "5.8S ribosomal RNA". The record is from RNAcentral. Lineage: Eukaryota; Fungi; Basidiomycota; Agaricomycetes; Sebacinales; Sebacinaceae.